RNAcentral lists this unclassified non-coding RNA (3912 nucleotides) under Hevea brasiliensis (rubber tree). Lineage: Eukaryota; Viridiplantae; Streptophyta; Magnoliopsida; Malpighiales; Euphorbiaceae. The record is from RNAcentral.
GUUGGCUUUGAACCGUUUAACAUAGUCCACUGAAAUGUGUAACCCCACAAAUAUAAUCUCCAUAAACUCUUACUCCGUGACAAAUGUCUUGAGGGAGGACCAAACAGAGCAGCUGCCACUGCCAGCCUUGAUUCCAUCACCCCAUUCCUCAACCCAAAAGGCAAAAAGGUUGCUUUUUUACUUGUGGUUUUGGGGAAUGAAUGGUGAGUUUUCGUUGGAAAACGCGUCCAAUGAUGAAUGAUCCAAUGACAAACGAACAAAAAUGUCGCUUAUAUAUACUUGUGAAAGAUCUACAACAGUUACCUGAUGUCGAUCAAGUGCAAGCUCAUCGCUUGUAGUAAAAGUAGAUACAAACGCGCUCGCUUAACUGGAGACCCAAAUCUUUUGUGAAAUGGCAUGGCCUUCUCUCUGUCUGCCCUCCUCCUCAAUUCCAUUGCAGCACUCUCCUUGACCCUCCUCUCCAUUUUCCUUUUCUCCAAAUCACCGCUCCAGUCCUCAACAUCUCCUCAAAUCCCCCACAGAUCUCUCCUCUCCCAAACCCAGAACCAGACUCUCCCUCUCUCUUGCUCCUCCCUUUCCCCCACGAAUGGCCUCAUCAACUACCUUUCUCUCCACUUUUGCCUUUUCAAGGGGAAUCUUUUCCUCUCGAUUCCUUCCCUUUCUUUGUUCAUUCUCCUUCAUUUUUAUAUCCUCAUCAAAACAGCCCAAUCCCAUUUCUCUAUUGUCACCACCAAGCUCACCAAUCACUUAAACCUCUCUCCAAGCAUGGGUGGAGUGACCCUUUUGGCUCUUGGUAAUGGGGCACCCGAUGUUUUUGCAUCUCUGGCGGCAGUUCGGUCUGGGCAGUACAGAACUGGGUUUGGGGCUAUACUGUCUGCUGGUACUUUUGUUUCCGCGUUUGUGGUUGGAUUUGUGGCGAUAUAUGCAGCACCAUUUAAUGUGGAUCCUGGGUCUUUUCUGAGAGAUGUUGGAUUUUAUUUGGUGGGGGCUUUGUUUCUGUUUUACGUGUAUUUGAGUGGGGAGAUAACUUUUUGGCAGGCUGUCGGAUUCGUUGGAUUUUACAUGUUCUUUGUUGGGUUUGUGUUUUGGAUGGAUUUGGGAACUGGGGUUGUUCGUAAAAGGGAUGGAGGAGAAACGGAUUAUGAGAAAGGAGGAGAAAUGCAUUUUGAGAAAGGCGGAGAAGUGGUGGUUAGCACUUUGGAGGAGGAGAAGCAGGUUUCUGGGUUGUUUGAAAGGGCUUAUGGAAAGGUAAUUAUAGUGUUCUUCUUUGAAAUUAAUGCAAUAUCUAGAUAAUUGUGAUGUUUGUGUUCUUUUGAAUGUUAAGUUGUGGUUAGCUAUGAGAUAUUAGUUAUUUUCUGUUUGCGAAGCCUUUUUUUGGUGGGGGGGAGUUAGACUGUUAUCAAUUUUCUCUUCUCAAUUAUCUGUUUGUGAUAGUUUAUAGGAUAGGGCAUUCUCCUCAUUGUUUUUUAGUAUUCAACAAGGUAACUACUAAAUUGCACAAUGAAUUCUGGAUAGUUCUAUAUUUCUUCCCAGACUGGAAGGGAAAUUGGGACUUGCAUUUAAAAGAUGUUUAAUUUUGCAGUCACUUUAUGUAGAGUUUCUAGUUUUAAUCUUCAUCGCCUGUGAGCAACCUCUGUUUUAUUCAGAUGUUGGAAUCCAACACCACUGAUUGGCGCCACUUGGCUUAUGCAAUUUAAGUUAAAAUAAGUCAUUGUGCAUUAAACAGCUUACAUUAUGAACUCAGUUUUUUUUUUAGGGUACAUUUAAAUGUCUUAUUUCUUUACUUGAAUUAGUACUGAGUUUUGAUAGUGUUGGUAUUCCAGUAUUUCAUCUUAAGAUGAUGCUAUGAAAAUGAUAUAGAUUUUACCUAUUUAUUGAUGGUGCAAAGUGCAGGCACUUGCUUGGGGAAGGUUAGAAGAAGAAAAAGGACCAAAGAUUCAUAAAUAAGAAUUCUGAUUAUUCGCAUCACGCGUUUGUGAUGAUAAAAUGUAAAAAAAUUUUCAUUUUGCUGAGAUGAAAAUAAAACCUUCACAUGUGCAUAAAAUAGAGUUUACUUGACUUUUGUUUGCAGGCCCAUAAAAAAAUUUGUGCCCUUCAAAUUGGGCUAUAAGUAAGCAUAGCACUUGCACCUUGAGUUCCCACCCCCUCUAUUAUGUACUUUGCAGCCUGCCAAGGGAAGUGGCGGCUAAUAUUUCGGUAAUCAGUAAUGCUUUAUAUAUCAUCAUAGAAAAGAAGAGAAUGGACAAAGAGAGAGGAACCAGAAUAAGGCGGGAGAAGAGAGAAUUGAUGCGACAGAAUUUCCAGACUCUUUCCAUAAUGUCUACAUUGGAUUCUGGUAGAUCAGGGAGUUGCCAUUGUAGUGCUGGCGGCCUUUAUUGGCGACUCUCCCUUCCACGCCUUGUACCUUGCAGCUGGCACACUCUGUGUCUGUCUCAUCCCUGUAGAGGCGCUGGCCUUAGGGCCUGGUGCACAUUGCUACUUGACAACUGUGGAAGUGACUAAUAGAAGGGGCAUUAAACAUUUGGGAAAUUAUUGUUUUGUUUUUUGAAGGAUGACUUGAAGCUUUGGGGUUUACCAAAAUCCAGUAGCCCAAAGCAAAGUGUGUAGGUGUUCAUUUUGCUGGCAAAAUGGGAAAUGCUCUAUGUUGCUCCUCUAGUUUUUCCAGAGGCCCUCUAUAUUAGUAAACCCUUUAUAUAUAUGUUUGUUGUGUGGAUUUCAUAUGCAUAUAUUUCUUGAUUCAUUGUCACCCUCUAGUACAAAGCCAAACAAUAAAUGAUAUGUAAAUUUUUUUAAUUGGGAACUUGUAUUUGACUUUUUGUUUAGUUCCUUACUUCCUUUUAUAAUUUUUUUAUUUUGUCAUGUGUUUCUUACAGAUCUCAAAAGUAUGGGAGCGCCCAAUCUCGUUUCUUCUUAAGCUCACAAUUCCACAAACUGCUCCUUCAGAAUGGAGCAGGUUCUACGUAUCUGCCAAUAUAAUUCUUUGUCCUCUAGCACUUCUAUAUACUUGCAACUCAUUCAUGCCAUUAGAUCAUCCCAUAGUGUUCCUCCUUCCAAACACUCAUUUCCCACUCUGGUUCAUAGUACUCCUGGCAAGCUCCUCUCUUGCACUUCUUCACUUCAUAUUGGAAAAGGAAUCUCCAAAGACCGAGCAAAUGCCUGUAGUGCUUGUGGCAUUUAUAAUGAGUGUUUUCUGGAUAUCUACUGUUGCUGGAGAACUGCUAGACUGCUUGGUGGCAAUUGGAAUGCUUCUUAAAGUGCAUCCUUCAAUUCUGGGCCUUACGGUACUUGCUUGGGGAAACUCAGUGGGUGAUCUUGUGGCUGAUGUUGCAGUUGCCAGAGCAGGGCAGCCAGCAAUGGCCAUGGCUGGGUGCUUUGCUGGGCCAAUGUUUAAUAUGCUUGUUGGACUUGGGACAGCAUUGGUGAUGCAAACAGCUGAUACUUAUCCAAAAGCUUAUGAACUUCAUCUCCACACUGGUAUUGUGAUUGCAUUUGUGUUCUUGCUCUUGAGCCUGAUGGGAUCUCUGCUAGUUAUAACUUGGUCCAGAUUUCGGGUGCCUAAAUCCUGGGGCUUUUGCCUUGUCGGCCUUUAUUUAUUUUUCAUGGUAGUUAGCUUAGUCAUUGCUACGUUUUUAGGAUGAUUUAUUCAAUCCAUAAAAUCAAAAUUUUGUUCAGUUAUUGCUAAAUUCUUUAUGCCACUUCACAGGAAAUCUUCCCAGCUAUAUGUUGGUGGAAACACAGCAUAUAAGAUUGUUAUCAGAAGAUUUUACAAAGAUUAUUGAAUUUUUAUUAUAGUCCAAUCUGAAAAAUGUAUUUUGUAUCCUAUGUUCAUUAAUUGAUUUUUUUCCCCAAUAUAUCCACUAAUUUCUGAAGUUUUAACAGAUGCUAAUGUGAUCCAGAAAAUGUAGUUUGUUG